GUGUUGUAGCUCAAUGGUAGAGUACUUGCCUCGCAUGCAUGAGGCCGUGGGUUCGAUCCUCAGCACCACACA
Molecule: transfer RNA, 72 nt
Filed under: Marmota monax (woodchuck)
Lineage: Eukaryota; Metazoa; Chordata; Mammalia; Rodentia; Sciuridae
Description: tRNA.Ala
Rfam family: tRNA
About the family: Transfer RNA (tRNA) molecules are approximately 80 nucleotides in length. Their secondary structure includes four short double-helical elements and three loops (D, anti-codon, and T loops). Further hydrogen bonds mediate the characteristic L-shaped molecular structure. tRNAs have two regions of fundamental functional importance: the anti-codon, which is responsible for specific mRNA codon recognition, and the 3' end, to which the tRNAs corresponding amino acid is attached (by aminoacyl-tRNA synthetases). tRNAs cope with the degeneracy of the genetic code in two manners: having more than one tRNA (with a specific anti-codon) for a particular amino acid; and 'wobble' base-pairing, i.e. permitting non-standard base-pairing at the 3rd anti-codon position.
Source: RNAcentral